UUAAUACUCCCUCCGUCUUAAUUCUUUUGUCUUAGAUUUGUUUAGAUAUAAAUGUAUCUAGUCAUGUUUUAGUAUUUUGAUACAUCUAUUUCUAGACAAACCUAAGACAAGAAUGUUGGGACGGAGGAAGUACAUC
This is a non-coding RNA of Hordeum vulgare subsp. vulgare (domesticated barley), 136 nucleotides long. Lineage: Eukaryota; Viridiplantae; Streptophyta; Magnoliopsida; Poales; Poaceae. The record is from Rfam.